GUGAAUGGUCGUCUCGUUAUUGGUUUAUAUCGGGUUCGCUCUUCUGCUUAUGGUCUGCCCGUUAACCCGUGUCGCUGCCUGUUUUUCCUCUUGACUUUGAAAUCUCCUGUUCGCUCUGUAGCUGUUUCAUCAGACGUUCAAACAGAGAUUUCGAGAGCAGGGGAGAGAGAGAGACGGCGAUUAUUUCCAUUCACAGCUCUCCUUCUCUUGUUGCUUCAGGUGUUCGGUUGUUGUUGUUCGCCCGCUGGUGGUUAGAAGUGCUCCUCCAACUGGUUUGCAUCUGUUCUCUCUCCCCUCCAUUCAUUGUUCUUUAUCUAGAUCUCCGCCGACGCGAUUCGUGGAUUUUGUGAGCUCUCACUCGUCCAAUCCUAGGUUGUUCAUGUUUUUGCUUAAUUUGCAGCUCUUCAAAUCCACUGGAAGGAUCCCUUGCUUGAAGUUUAGAUUGCUGCGGUCGGCUAGCUGCUGGUUGGAAUUUUCUCUUCCCAACGGCCUGUUGUUGUUCUUCAUCAAUUACUCUAUUUUCUAGAUCUGCGAGAUAUGGUCCUACAAUUCUGUGAGCCCGAUGAUGGCUGUGCUCUGUUGAAUCUGUGAGCUAUGGUCCUCGAAUUCUAGGUUGUUCAUCUACGUUGUGUUGCGUUUUGCUGUUCCCAUCCUUGUGUUUGGGUCAGGCUUUGUGCUUGUGCAUGUGUAAUGUUGGGGCAAUUCUAGAGUAUUGUCUAUAAUAUCUGUCUUUGAAGAGUUUGAUUUAACUUUAUAAGGUUAUUAUUAGUUCUUAUAUUUUACUUCCCAUAUUGAAUCUUUUAGUGGUUGUUCCGUAAUUUUUUCUGUUAUUUUGCUGUAAAUUGAGUGAGUUGUCUCUGCAGGUUAUGUUUAGGUUAAUUUCCACAACAUUUAAAAGUUAUUUUGUUGUACCUCAUGAAUGAAUUGCAGUCUGAGAGUAGCUCUUAAUCCUUGAUAAAUUAGGUGGUUACUUAGUGUUACUUUGUUUUAUGAGUAGAGGUGGUUAUUGCUUGCAUUACCUCUGCAUGCUCUAGUUGGUCGUUUAACUAUUUUUCUUGCAUUAAGCAUAAUUACACUGUCACAUUAUUAUAUUUCUCCAGCAAAGGCUAUUGUAGUUUUCAAUAUCCCACCAAGUUUUAACUGUUUUUUGUUACAGUGCAUUUCUGUAUUAUGUAGCUCAUCGGUGUACUAUGUAGUAAUAUGUUCUCAGCUGAUACUUUUUAUUUACAGUAGCUAUUCAUUUUGUGAGCAAUACUCACAGUUGCUACUGUGUUCUCGUGGAUAGCUAGACACUUACAGGUUGUUGGCUAGCUGUUCAAUUCGGACAUGGAAGGAAAAGCUUCAGGGGUGUUAGGUGUGAGCUUUUUGGUGGCUCUCGCUCGCCUUUGUAGCUCUGAAAUAAGAAGAUGACUGAUAUGAGCCUGUGUCUACAUGCCCAGACCUUGCUAAUAGGUGUGUGAAGUGUGGCUUGCAUCCACCUGAACGCUUGCUUGUGUGGAUUGAUGUGUGUUUGCAAUGGGUUUGGAAACACUAGUAGUAGUAAUUAAGAAGCAGCCUUUAUCUAUGUGGCUGCUGUGUAAAUGUGAUCCUCUCCUCUUACGAGUGUUUGGCAUGUACUCCCUCGGUCCGGAAAAGUUUGUCCCAAGCUUGUCUUUCAAAUGGAUGUAUCCAGCACUAACUUGAUGCUAGAUACAUCCUUUUAAGGGACAAGCUUUUUCGGACGGAGGGAGUAGUAUUUUAACUAAAAAACAUUGUGUCUGCCUGUGUGCUUGUUAAAUAUGCAUUUCAUAUGAGCAAGGCAGCAGGGAACCCUUUACAUUCUAUAUUUUCUAGUGGGUUGCCUAUGCUUAUCAGUUUUGUGUUCUUUCAGUUAGUGGUUCAGCUAGUGCUAGUUUACGUUGUUAGGAAGAGAGAGUUGUUGAAAUUCUCAGUGACAUNNNNNNNNNNNNNNNNNNNNNNNNNNNNNNNNNNNNNNNNNNNNNNNNNNNNNNNNNNNNNNNNNNNNNNNNNNNNNNNNNNNNNNNNNNNNNNNNNNNNNNNNNNNNNNNNNNNNNNNNNNNNNNNNNNNNNNNNNNNNNNNNNNNNNNNNNNNNNNNNNNNNNUACAGAGGAAUUAUAGCAGUUUUACAUGUAAGUUCACUGUAAAUCGCAUUGUAAUUCAACUGCAAGUAUACUGUAAAUCUCACUGUAAUUCAACUGUAAUUUGCUCUAUAAUACUACUGCUUUUUACUCUGUAAAUCUAAUGUAAAAUGUCACUAUAUUUAUGAUUUGAUUAGAUUGCAUAUUACACUACACUGUAAAUCUGUUGCAGUUACACUGUAAAACUCACAACAUUUCUACUCUAGUUGUAUUUCCACUAUAAAUUAGACUGUAAAUCUAUUGAAAUUACAUUGUAAAUCACACGAUUAAUCUACUGGUUACACUGCAAUUCUACUGUAUUUGUUACAUUGUAAUUUCAUUGUAAAUUACACUGUAAAUCUACUAUAAAUUACACUGUAAAUCUUCUGAAAUUAUAGUGUAAAUCACACUUUUUAAGUUACUACAAUUAUGCCAUACUUCUACUGUAUUUGAAACACUGUAAUUCUAUUUGUAAAUUACACUGUAAUUCUAUUGUAAAUUACAUUGUAAUUGUACUGUGUUUAUACUGUAUUUAACACUGCAAUUCUAUUGUAAAAUACAGUGUAAUUCAAACUGUAAAUCAGUCUUCUACUCUAAUUCAACUCUGAAUGUAUUGUUUCAGAGUGACUUAACUGUGUGAGUUCAGUUCAUCAUGUGUGAUGGUUAGGUUUUUAUCUUAAAAGUUUACUGUAGUUGUUCCCCUUUUUUCUGUAAUUGUUACUGGAAUAACAUGAUUUACUGUUUCCAUUUACUUUGCUUAUAGUCCAACUAUGUGAUAGUUUCCUGUAGCGAGGUCUUAUAUUUCUGCUGCAUUUAUCAGUAUAAUUUCUACUUUUCUAUGCCAUUCCUGUUUGAAAGUUCUAAUGUAUAUAUGAUUUACAAUUCUCUAGUAGUUUUAUUUUCCCUGUAAUCUUAGUAUAAUCUGUUUCCUGAUGUACACUUGUCUUGGUUCCUUUCUUUCAAUUUGGAGAAGUAUUUCAUGUUUUCUCUUUCUAUCUUCAUAAAUCAGGGUAGUUGUUUGUCACUGUAGUUUUUUACAUGAGUUACAAGGUCUGGUAGGCUCAUGUACAUGGCCAGAUAUGGUAUGCAGUACUCAUUUUUUUCUCUAAAGUUCAAUGCAAUUUUGAUCUACAUGUGUUUCUGGUGUAUACUAGCUGUUAGAAGUGCUUCUAUUAUAUUCGGCUGCAGUCUCUAACUAUUGUAUGUUCUCCUUUUCUUUUGUAAAUUGUAAAAGAAGUUAAAGGAUUCAUAAGCAUCAUGUUGAUAUGAGGGAAUGCUGCAGUUGGACUGAUGUACUUGACAGAAGCAUCCGGAAGAUAGGUGAUUUAGGGAGGGCACCUGACAUGUGAUUAUUCCAUAGUGUAAACUAAUUAGACUGGUCGUUUCAGCUGUAUUUUUUA
This 3517-nucleotide long non-coding RNA is filed under the name Triticum aestivum (bread wheat). RNAcentral's name for it is "long non-coding RNA (TAES_LNC014579)". The stretch from base 1611 to 1736 matches the Rfam family "MIR1120/MIR1122 microRNA precursor family". Lineage: Eukaryota; Viridiplantae; Streptophyta; Magnoliopsida; Poales; Poaceae. The record is from RNAcentral.